RNAcentral lists this ribosomal RNA (510 nucleotides) under uncultured bacterium. RNAcentral describes it as "partial 16S ribosomal RNA". It matches the Rfam family "Bacterial small subunit ribosomal RNA", at positions 28 to 507 of the family's 1533-position model. The record is from RNAcentral.
GACGAACGCUGGCGGCGUGCUUAACACAUGCAAGUCGAACGAAGAGCGAUGGAAGCUUGCUUCUAUCAAUCUUAGUGGCGAACGGGUGAGUAACGCGUAAUCAACCUGCCCUUCAGAGGGGGACAACAGUUGGAAACGACUGCUAAUACCGCAUACGAUCUAAUCUCGGCAUCGAGGAUAGAUGAAAGGUGGCCUCUACAUGUAAGCUAUCACUGAAGGAGGGGAUUGCGUCUGAUUAGCUAGUUGGAGGGGUAACGGCGCACCAAGGCGAGGAUCAGUAGCAGGACGGAGAGGAUGAGCGGCCAGAUUGGGACGGAGACAGGGCCCAGACGCAUUGGGGAGGCAGCAGUGGGGAAUCUGGCGCAAUGGACGAAAGUCUGACGGAGCAACGCCGCGUGAGUGAGGACGGCCUUCGGGUUGUAAAGCUCUGCUAAUCGGGACGAAAGGCCUUCUUGCGAAUAGUGAGAAGGAUUGACGGUACCGGAAUAGAAAGCAACGGCUAACUACGUG